AUGUCUUAUCCACACACUCUUUCCUUUCUUAUCUUAUCUAGAUCUUUGGAAGGUCACGUGGAAAGCUUUUCUUCUCCCCUCUCCCCCACAGCUUUAUUGAGACAUAAUGGACAUUCAACAUUGUGUUAUUUCCAGUUGAACUUCCUCUUCACAGGCUUGUGAGAGUAUCCCCCAAACAUGUCUUGCCUGCCAUCUAUUUUUGCACUUUUCAUCAGAGAAACUGGAAAGCCUUAUCCAUAGAAUGUUAUCCACAUCUCAAGGGGCUUGAGUUUGGGCCUAACUCCAUGAUUUGUUCUGGGCCAACGAAAGUUUCUUAUCCAGGUGUUUGCUUUGACUGCCUUCCAAGGUGGCAUGCAGCAAACCCAAUGUGGGCCACUGGGAAAGGCCUCCAGGAAAGGCAUCUGGUAGCACCUUCUUUUUUUCAGUCACGUGUUUUUCUGCUGUUACCUGCUAGGAGAGUGACAAAAGAGAGAUGACUCAGGCAGGCAAGUGUUGUGGAGGCUAGAGCCUGUGUAUGUUGCAAAAAGAGUCACAGAUCCUUCUCGUCUGUAUGUGCGUGCC
RNAcentral lists this long non-coding RNA (561 nucleotides) under Canis lupus familiaris (dog). RNAcentral's name for it is "lncRNA (ENSCAFG00000050844.1, ENSCAFG00845015820.1)". The record is from RNAcentral. Lineage: Eukaryota; Metazoa; Chordata; Mammalia; Carnivora; Canidae.